AUACGGAGGAUGCGAGCGUUAUCCGGAUUUAUUGGGCGUAAAGGGUGCGUAGGCGGCCUUGUAAGUCAGAUGUGAAAGAUCAUGGCUUAACUGUGGUAAGCAUUUGAAACUGCAGGGCUUGAGUACCGGAGAGGAGAGUGGAAUUCCUAGUGUAGCGGUGCAAUGCGUAGAUAUUAGGAGGAAUACCAGUGGCGAAGGCGACUCUCUGGACUGAUACUGACGCUGAGGCACGAAAGCGUGGGGAGCAAACAGGAUUAGAUACCCUGGUAGUCCACGCUAUAAACGAUGAGUGCUAGGUGUCGGGGGUCAGACCUCGGUGCCGCAGUUAACACAUUGAGCACUCCGCCUGGGGAGUACGGCCGCAAGGCUGAAACUCAAAGGAAUUGACGGGG
This 392-nucleotide ribosomal RNA is filed under the name uncultured bacterium. RNAcentral describes it as "partial 16S ribosomal RNA". It matches the Rfam family "Bacterial small subunit ribosomal RNA", at positions 523 to 918 of the family's 1533-position model. The record is from RNAcentral.